Molecule: ribosomal RNA, 121 nt
Filed under: Streptomyces albogriseolus
Lineage: Bacteria; Bacillati; Actinomycetota; Actinomycetes; Kitasatosporales; Streptomycetaceae
Also listed under: 4 other names
Description: partial 16S rRNA
Rfam family: Bacterial small subunit ribosomal RNA
Source: RNAcentral
UCUAAUACCGGAUACUGACCCGCUUGGGCAUCCAAGCGGUUCGAAAGCUCCGGCGGUGCAGGAUGAGCCCGCGGCCUAUCAGCUUGUUGGUGAGGUAAUGGCUCACCAAGGCGACGACGGG